This 772-nucleotide ribosomal RNA is filed under the name uncultured Neocallimastigales. Its description in RNAcentral is "partial large subunit ribosomal RNA". The stretch from base 1 to 662 matches the Rfam family "Eukaryotic large subunit ribosomal RNA", at positions 26 to 664 of the family's 3401-position model. Lineage: Eukaryota; Fungi; Neocallimastigomycota; Neocallimastigomycetes; Neocallimastigales. The record is from RNAcentral.
CGCAUCUGUGCAUGCAGCAUAUCAAUAAGCGGAGGAAAAGAAACUAACAAGGAUUCCCUUAGUAACGGCGAGUGAAGCGGGAAGAGCUCAAAUUUGAAAUCUUCAAGGUUUUACCUUGACGAAUUGUAGUUUAAAGAAGUGUUUUCUGCUGAAGUUUUGGUAAAAGUUCUUCGGAAUAGGACAUCAUAGAGGGUGAGAAUCCCGUAUUUGACCUUUACUUUCAACUUUGUGAUACACUUUCAAAGAGUCGGAUUGUUUGGGAAUGCAGUCCAAAAUGGGUGGUAAAUUUCAUCUAAAGCUAAAUAUUGGCGAGAGACCGAUAGCGAACAAGUACCGUGAGGGAAAGAUGAAAAGAACUUUGAAAAGAGAGUUAAAUAGUACGUGAAAUUGUCAAAAGGGAAGCGUUUAACACCAGUGUUGCUUUCUGAAAAUCAACCUCUGUUAGCUUUAUGCAUGUUUGUUUAGACCUAAUCAGCUAUCUUGCAUGUUCUAUUGUUUGCAGUGGUGCACUUUUCAGUUUACAGGUCAACAUCAGUUUUUUUUACCGUAAAAAAGUUAAAGAAAGGUAGCUCAUGGCUCCGGUCGUGAGUGUUAUAGUCUUGUUCCUAUGCGGUAGGAGAGACUGAGGUCUGCAGUGCUAGGCUAUUUGGCUAGAUACUCAGGUGCUAUGUGAUACCAUUUCAUAAACAACUUGUUGAUUAUGUUUUGUCUAUUGCAUACUCGCUUGUACUAUCAUACCUACGCUUAGGAUGUUGACGAUCAGCUGAGCGCG